UACGUAGGGUGCGAGCGUUAAUCGGAAUUACUGGGCGUAAAGCGUGCGCAGGCGGUUAUGUAAGUCCGAUGUGAAAUCCCCGGGCUUAACCUGGGAACUGCAUUGGUGACUGCAUCGCUCGAGUAUGGCAGAGGGGGGUAGAAUUCCACGUGUAGCAGUGAAAUGCGUAGAGAUGUGGAGGAAUACCGAUGGCGAAGGCAGCCCCCUGGGUCAAUACUGACGCUCAUGCACGAAAGCGUGGGGAGCAAACAGG
RNAcentral lists this ribosomal RNA (253 nucleotides) under uncultured bacterium. RNAcentral describes it as "partial 16S ribosomal RNA". It matches the Rfam family "Bacterial small subunit ribosomal RNA", at positions 524 to 776 of the family's 1533-position model. The record is from RNAcentral.